This is a long non-coding RNA of Phacochoerus africanus (Common warthog), 2219 nucleotides long. RefSeq lists it as uncharacterized. The transcript is spliced from 3 exons. The record is from RefSeq and is a predicted model, not a curated record. Lineage: Eukaryota; Metazoa; Chordata; Mammalia; Artiodactyla; Suidae.
CUGUGAUCUCUGUACCACUGCUGCAGAAAAGAGGACAACAUUUCACAUUUCUGGCACCACUAACGACAACACAGCAACUGAAAGAAAGCAUGAAUUUCUGGGAGCAGCAUUAGGAUACAGGACUCCUGCUGAGCUCACCAGUUCCUUGCUCUGCACAGCUGCCUUCUCAGCUGGGGGUUUGAAAUCAGCACUGUGAGAAAAGACAGAAAUGACCAUGGUGCGUUUGCCUCAUUCUGAGAAAAAGGCACUUGGAUGCUGAAAUAUUCUGCAGCUGUUCUGUGACCAUGAGGAAGCACAUAUGAGGAAACCCUAAGAGAAUUUCAGAAUGCCUGCUAUAACAUGCUAAAACUACUGAACCAGUGCCAGCUGUCUUCCUCAAGGCUCCUUGCUAUGUCAGAAGAGUAAAUAAAAAAAAAAAAGAAGAGUAAAUCAAUAUUUACUAAGUCAAUCUAUGUGUUGCUUUUAAUUGGAAGCCUUUCCUAACUGAUGCCACAUGUAUAAAUAAUUUAGAAAGGUUUUUGAAAGUUGAGCAUUAUGUUACAAAAUAAAAUACUUAGCAAUAAAGACAAAAUACAAUUCUUCUCUUCAGGAACUUUAUGGUAAACAUUUUAUAUGAUAAAGAAGUAAGCAUCAAGAAACUUUGUAAUAUUUGUCCAAGGUCUGAGAUCAAUUUGCACUGGCAUAUUUCUUACUGGUUCUUGGUGUUCUUUUUCUCACACGUAAAAUAAUAGAUUACAUUACUUCUGAGUUCCACUGCAUGUCUAAACUUCUGACUUUAUUAGAACAAAGUGUAUUUUAAAUCUAUGGCUUUAUAAUACUACCUGUUGAAUAUUUGAAAAUUCAUAUUCCUUGGAUACUUUUUGUAUGAAAGAAGUCAUUGCAUUUUACUGUUCGUACUUAGGAUUCUAUACAUUCCAUAUUGAAAAUAAUGGGCUAUGAGUUCGAGUCCUUUGAUAUACCAUCAUCCACUCUAAAAAUAUAAUUUAUUACAUACUGAAAUUAGCAUAAAAUGAUAUUUGGAAACAUCUUUUAGGAAGAAUUUUCCCCAGAACACUAUACGAUAUCAUUAAUUCCUCCUUUUGCUAGUACAAAAUUCAGGCAAAAUAAUUCCACUGAUAUGAAGGUAUGUCUGACACAUUAGGUUUUCUAGCCCUUUGAUGACAUGUCUGUGCAAUUGUAUGAAAUUGGCAUAAAGAAGAUUCAUUGAUAUCAAGGAAAAUGUUCUCAAAUCGCUUUGGGGAGGCAAUAAAGUAUAACAAAUAAAAUGUUGCUAUACUAUUUAAAAGAAUAGGAACAAAUGUGAAUUAAAUGGGAAUUGACCAUAAAUAACUGAUUUCAAAGUCUAUUUUAUAUUUUCAUCUUUUUUUGCAAUAAUAUAAGGUUAUGCAAGCUGAUCAAAUGCCAGUGGCUCUAGCUAAGCCUUUUUUGGCCACAAUACGUUGACACUUAACUCCGAUUUGUAAUUUGGUUGAUGUUGGAAACUGAGAUGUGCAAAGAAGCUGUUACUGGAAAUGGAAAAGAAGUGAAACAGAGUCCAUACAGAAAGGAGAGAUUUGAUAGCAAGCAAAAGCUUUAAUGCAGAAAAUGAAAAUAAAAAGAAAAUGAGUAAUGUGCUGCCCAUGAACUGGAGAACUGAGCUGGUACUUAAAAAUAAGGGUUUCUUUCUUUCUUUAAAGCAACAACAUCUUUAGUUGUUGUUGUAAGUGUAAAACAAACAGGGAUGCCUUCCCUUUACAUGCUGGAAGCAGUCUUCCCUGUUGCCAAGGCAACAUCCUCAUGCUGCAAGGGUCACCUUUGGAAACAAUCGGAAGACUUCAAAAGCAGAUCAAUUGAGAAACACCAAGACCUGAACUUCCUAGAAAAUGGCUCCUAUUUUAAAUGUCAUUUUCCAACAGACACUUGCUUAUGUAAUUACUAUAUUCCAGGAAAAGAAGGCAAAACUGCAUAUGAACUAAGUCUAGUCCAAUAUUUUCAAGCUCUGCUCUUGGAAGCCUAUGCUUUAUAAGAAAGAUGUUUUGAAAGGGGGAAUGAGCAGAAUUUUCACUUAGACCAUGAACUGACAUUCAGAUUUGAAAAUAGAAGCUGCAGAUGAGACUUCAUUUGAAGAACGUUUCCACUCAUUUAAAAAAUACAGACUAUUCAUAUAAACACACUUGAUUAUACUUUGUCUAAAAUAACGAGAUUUUUAAUUUCUGAGAAUGUUUUUGUGAUAUAUUAAA